RNAcentral lists this long non-coding RNA (650 nucleotides) under Elaeis guineensis (African oil palm). Its description in RNAcentral is "long non-coding RNA (EGUI_LNC082068)". Lineage: Eukaryota; Viridiplantae; Streptophyta; Magnoliopsida; Arecales; Arecaceae. The record is from RNAcentral.
GGCAUCAUAUGCCGCAACUAUGUCCCUGUGAUGCUUUUCAAUUGGCGUCACAUUGUAUGGGCUCAGAGAGAGAUUUUUUACACCCAGUUAUAGGUAAAAUAAAUUAUACUGUGAAUAUUUAAUUAACACAGUAUUCUUCUAAUAUUUGUUAUUGGCAGGAUGUAUUUGAUAUUAUUAAUUUUGAAGAGGAUCGUGUGCGGUAAGCUAUAGAUGCUCAUUUAUGUUUGCAUUUUAAGGAGUAUCACCACCGUAUCCAUCAGCAUUGGUACCAUAUGAUGCAAGAUCAUGGGGUGGAGGUAGUGCGGCAGCGGUCCUAUGAUAGCAUCACUAUAGAUGAUUGGACUCUCAUAUGCCGACAUUAUGAGGAUCCGACAUAUCAGGUUACACAUCCAAACUUUUUUUUAGAGUUUAAUGAUUGAAUCAUUUAUUCUUAAAUUCAGUUUGUUAUCUACUAAUUUGACUGCUAAUUGUACAGAGACGAUGUGCUCAGAAUGUCGUGAAUCAUGCGAGACAGACGGUAUUGCACUAUGAGGGUUCGAGGUCAUUUGCUCGUCAUAUGGAGCAAAUGGUAAAUAAUUUUUAAUUAGUAUAUCUUAACUCUAACUAUUUAAAAAAAAUUAAUUAAUUAUUUUCAAAUUAUAGAGAGAUGC